Molecule: ribosomal RNA, 579 nt
Filed under: uncultured bacterium
Lineage: Bacteria
Description: bacterial SSU rRNA
Rfam family: Bacterial small subunit ribosomal RNA
Source: RNAcentral
ACGGGUGAGUAAUGUCUGGGGAUCUGCCCGAUAGAGGGGGAUAACCACUGGAAACGGUGGCUAAUACCGCAUAACGUCGCAAGACCAAAGAGGGGGACCUUCGGGCCUCUCACUAUCGGAUGAACCCAGAUGGGAUUAGCUAGUAGGCGGGGUAACGGCCCACCUAGGCGACGAUCCCUAGCUGGUCUGAGAGGAUGACCAGCCACACUGGAACUGAGACACGGUCCAGACUCCUACGGGAGGCAGCAGUGGGGAAUAUUUCACAAUGGGCGCAAGCCUGAUGCAGCCAUGCCGCGUGUAUGAAGAAGGCCUUCGGGUUGUAAAGUACUUUCAGCGGGGAGGAAGGCAGUGAGGUUAAUAACCUUACUGAUUGACGUUACCCGCAGAAGAAGCACCGGCUAACUCCGUGCCAGCAGCCGCGGUAAUACGGAGGGUGCAAGCGUUAAUCGGAAUUACUGGGCGUAAAGCGCACGCAGGCGGUCUGUUAAGUCAGAUGUGAAAUCCCCGGGCUUAACCUGGGAACUGCAUUUGAAACUGGCAGGCUUGAGUCUCGUAGAGGGGGGUAGAAUUCCAGGUGUA